CUCGCGACCCCACUGCGCAUGCGCGCCGCCCGGCGGACCGUCCCGCCUUAUUCACUGCGCAUGCGCACCGCGACGCCGCGCGACUGCCCCACAGUUCCGUUUUACUGCGCAUGAGCGAUAGCGCGCCCCGCUCGCUGCGCAUGCGCACCACUGCAAAACGCCUCCGUCCGUCCCCCCGCAGUCACUUAACAACGCCCGCCCCGCUUUCUUAAAGGAGCCGCGCUAUAAUUUCUGGGGAGGGAAGAAAAGACGCAAAGCGCUUUAUUUCUCUUUGGUCCUUCGGGUGUGGGGCCGGGGGAGAAGGGAGGGGGGACACAAAGUGCUUUCCUGCUCGUUCUUCCGCCUACAGGUGUGGGGUGGGGGUUACGGUGGGGCUGGGGGCCGCUGUGGGGCUGGAGGCUGCCGUGGGGUUGGGGGCCGCAGUGGGGUUGGAGGCUGCAGCCCGGUCCCGCUCGUCCCACAGCGUGAGGCCGUCGCAGGUGCAGAGCUGUUUGGGGUUCUGGAAGAGCCCAGCCGCCCGCGCCACCACUCCGCAGGCCAACCUGGGCCCCGAGUUCCCCGUCAGCUUGGACAGCGCGUGGCCGCCCCGGCCCAGGUCGUCCUCACCCGCAUCCACCACCACUGAGCGCCCAAUGAUGUCCCACACCUUCAGCCGUGUGUCCUCCAUACGGAACGCUGCUCGGCCCUCAGCAUCGGCCCACACGUUGCCCAGAUCCCCGGCGUGCCGGUGCUCGUCCUGCGGCCCCCCGUGGCACUCCCCGUCAGGGUUGUAGUGGUCCCCGCAGCUCUCACAUCCCUCAGACGUGUCCCCAAACUCGUGCACGUGCAGCCCAUGUGGGCCCGGCCGCAGCCCAUCGAUGACCCCAUCCACCACGCACAGCUCCGGGGACACCUGCAGGAACCGCACCAAACCCCGCACACCGCCGGACAGCGCCGCCACCGCCGCCGUCGUGUCACCCCCUCGGGGACCCCCAGGGGACCCCGCAGGGACCCCCAUACCCCGCAGCACCGCGCGCCGCCCGCUGGAUUCCAGCAGCUCCUUCACACGCUCUGCGCCCACCUCGGCCUCCAGCAGCACCGUCUGAGUCUCGGGGCGCAGCUCCAGCAGCCGCACGCCUGGGGCGCCCUCCAGCGCUGCCCGCACGGCUUCGGCGCAGCUCUCGCAGCUCAUCUGCACUGCGAACUCCAGCGUGCAGCUCGACCCCCCGGACCCCGCCAUGACGGCGGACUCUGAACUCCGCGCGCUGCGCAACGCCGCGGCGCCACUACCGGCGCAGCGCAUUGGCGACACUUCCGGCGCAGAACUAAAUCGUCACAUCCGAUGCGCCGAUGUGACCACUUCCGGCGCAGCUGUUGGCAUAGAAAUAACCUCAGGGAACGCCGCGGUAGCGGCGCGGAUUCAAACGUCACUUCCGGCGCGCCGGUCGCCAUGGAAACAGAGACGCUGUAGGUCUCGUGGAGCGCGAUUCGGAG
RNAcentral lists this long non-coding RNA (1473 nucleotides) under Gallus gallus (chicken). The record is from RNAcentral. Lineage: Eukaryota; Metazoa; Chordata; Aves; Galliformes; Phasianidae.